RNAcentral lists this ribosomal RNA (733 nucleotides) under uncultured bacterium. RNAcentral describes it as "bacterial SSU rRNA". It matches the Rfam family "Bacterial small subunit ribosomal RNA", at positions 134 to 852 of the family's 1533-position model. The record is from RNAcentral.
CAGAGGGGGAUAACACUAGGAAACAGGUGCUAAUACCGCAUAACAGUUUAUGCCGCAUGGCAUAAGAGUGAAAGGCGCUUUCGGGUGUCGCUGAUGGAUGGACCCGCGGUGCAUUAGCUAGUUGGUGAGGUAACGGCUCACCAAGGCCACGAUGCAUAGCCGACCUGAGAGGGUGAUCGGCCACACUGGGACUGAGACACGGCCCAGACUCCUACGGGAGGCAGCAGUAGGGAAUCUUCGGCAAUGGACGAAAGUCUGACCGAGCAACGCCGCGUGAGUGAAGAAGGUUUUCGGAUCGUAAAACUCUGUUGUUAGAGAAGAACAAGGACGUUAGUAACUGAACGUCCCCUGACGGUAUCUAACCAGAAAGCCACGGCUAACUACGUGCCAGCAGCCGCGGUAAUACGUAGGUGGCAAGCGUUGUCCGGAUUUAUUGGGCGUAAAGCGAGCGCAGGCGGUUUCUUAAGUCUGAUGUGAAAGCCCCCGGCUCAACCGGGGAGGGUCAUUGGAAACUGGGAGACUUGAGUGCAGAAGAGGAGAGUGGAAUUCCAUGUGUAGCGGUGAAAUGCGUAGAUAUAUGGAGGAACACCAGUGGCGAAGGCGGCUCUCUGGUCUGUAACUGACGCUGAGGCUCGAAAGCGUGGGGAGCAAACAGGAUUAGAUACCCUGGUAGUCCACGCCGUAAACGACCACUACUGAGUGUUGGAGGGUUUCCGCCCUUCAGUGCUGCAGC